UGGGGAAUUGUUCGCAAUGGGCGCAAGCCUGACGACGCAACGCCGCGUGGAGGAUGAAGAUCUUCGGGUCGUAAACUCCUUUCGUCCGAGAUGAAUUUCCGCCGACCUAACACGUCGGCGGGGUGACAGUAUCGGGAGAAGCAGCCCCGGCUAACUCCGUGCCAGCAGCCGCGGUAAUACGGGGGGGGCAAGCGUUGUUCGGAAUUACUGGGCGUAAAGGGUUCGUAGGUGGCUCGCUAAGUCAGACGUGAAAUCCCUCGGCUCAACCGGGGAACUGCGUCUGAGACUGGAGAGCUUGAGUGCAGGAGAGGAACGCGGAAUUCCAGGUGUAGCGGUGAAAUGCGUAGAUAUCUGGAGGAACACCGGUGGCGAAGGCGGCGUUCUGGACUGCAACUGACACUGAGGAACGAAAGCCAGGGGAGCAAACGGGAUUAGAUACCCCUGUAGUCC
This 450-nucleotide ribosomal RNA is filed under the name uncultured bacterium. RNAcentral describes it as "bacterial SSU rRNA". It matches the Rfam family "Bacterial small subunit ribosomal RNA", at positions 355 to 796 of the family's 1533-position model. The record is from RNAcentral.